GAAAUAUAGCAUCUGGGAUGCCAAUCAUUUACACUGAUUAGAGGGACGUUCAAAUCGCCCUAUUUC
This 66-nucleotide transfer RNA is filed under the name Sipunculus nudus (marine worm). RNAcentral describes it as "tRNA-Val". The record is from RNAcentral. Lineage: Eukaryota; Metazoa; Annelida; Sipuncula; Golfingiida; Sipunculidae.